Molecule: ribosomal RNA, 406 nt
Filed under: uncultured bacterium
Lineage: Bacteria
Description: partial 16S ribosomal RNA
Rfam family: Bacterial small subunit ribosomal RNA
Source: RNAcentral
GAUGAACGCUAGCUACAGGCUUAACACAUGCAAGUCGAGGGACCGGCGCACGGGUGAGUAACACGUAUCCAACCUGCCCUUUACUCGGGGAUAGCCUUUCGAAAGAAAGAUUAAUACCCGAUAUAAAGGAUGGGGAUGCGUUCCAUUAGGUUGUUGGUGAGGUAACGGCCCACCAAGCCUUCGAUGGAUAGGGGUUCUGUGAGGAAGUUGCCCCGCAGUGGAAGUGAGACACGGUCCAAACUACGACGGGAGGAAGCAGUGAUGAAUAUUGGGCAAUGGGGGGUAGCCUGAACCAGCCAAGUAGCGUGAAGGAUGAAGGAUUAUGGGUCGUAAACUUCUUUUAUAUAAGAAUAGGUAUUAUAUGAAUAAGGAUCGGCUAACUCCGUGCCAGCCGCCGCGGUAAUUC